GAAAUAGCUCAGUGGUAGAGCGCUGGUUUAGGGCAUCAGGUCCUGGGUUCAAUCCCCAGUAGCUUCA
Molecule: transfer RNA, 67 nt
Filed under: Camelus bactrianus (Bactrian camel)
Lineage: Eukaryota; Metazoa; Chordata; Mammalia; Artiodactyla; Camelidae
Also listed under: 2 other names
Rfam family: tRNA
About the family: Transfer RNA (tRNA) molecules are approximately 80 nucleotides in length. Their secondary structure includes four short double-helical elements and three loops (D, anti-codon, and T loops). Further hydrogen bonds mediate the characteristic L-shaped molecular structure. tRNAs have two regions of fundamental functional importance: the anti-codon, which is responsible for specific mRNA codon recognition, and the 3' end, to which the tRNAs corresponding amino acid is attached (by aminoacyl-tRNA synthetases). tRNAs cope with the degeneracy of the genetic code in two manners: having more than one tRNA (with a specific anti-codon) for a particular amino acid; and 'wobble' base-pairing, i.e. permitting non-standard base-pairing at the 3rd anti-codon position.
Source: Rfam by way of RNAcentral